CUUCGGUGACCGAGUAGAGUGGCGAACGGGUGAGUAGCGCGUGGGUAACCUGCCCUUUGUAUUGGGAUAACCCGAGGAAACUCUGGCUAAUACCGAAUAAGCCUGUUUUUUUUAAAGAAUGAACAGGGAAAGGCUUCGGCCGACGAAGGAGGGGCCCGCGUCCGAUUAGCUAGUUGGUGGGGUAAGAGCUCACCAAGGCAACGAUCGGUAACCGGUCUGAGAGGACGGACGGUCACACUGGGACUGAGACACGGCCCAGACUCCUACGGGAGGCAGCAGUGGGGAAUUUUGCGCAAUGGGGGAAACCCUGACGCAGCAACGCCGCGUGGAGGAAGAAGGCUUUCGAGUCGUAAACUCCUUUUCUGAGGGACGAAGCAAGUGACGGUACCUUAGGAAGAAGCCCCGGCUAACUCCGUGCCAGCAGCCGCGGUAAUACGGGGGGGGCGAGCGUUGUUCGGAAUUACUGGGCGUAAAGGGCGCGUAGGCGGACCGAGAAGUUUUGGGUGAAAGCCCCGGGCUCAACCCGGGAAAGUCCCAGAAAACCAUCGGACUGGAGUGCUGGAGAGGCAAGCGGAAUUUCUGGUGUAGCGGUGAAAUGCGUAGAUAUCAGAAGGAACACCUGAGGCGAAGGCGGCUUGCUGGACAGACACUGACGCUGAGGCGCGAAAGCUAGGGGAGCAAACGGGAUUAGAUACCCCGGUAGUCCUAGCCGUAAACGAUGGGUACUUGGUGUAGGGGACGGUAGGUCUUCUGUGCCGGCGAAAACUCGUUAAGUACCCCGCCUGGGGAGUACGAUCGCAAGAUUGAAACUCAAAGGAAUUGACGGGGGCCCGCACAAG
This 839-nucleotide ribosomal RNA is filed under the name uncultured Bacillota bacterium. RNAcentral's name for it is "bacterial SSU rRNA". It matches the Rfam family "Bacterial small subunit ribosomal RNA", at positions 78 to 929 of the family's 1533-position model. The record is from RNAcentral. Lineage: Bacteria; Bacillati; Bacillota.